RNAcentral lists this ribosomal RNA (576 nucleotides) under Dacrymycetes sp. NBRC 110597. RNAcentral's name for it is "eukaryotic LSU rRNA". It matches the Rfam family "Eukaryotic large subunit ribosomal RNA", at positions 52 to 655 of the family's 3401-position model. The record is from RNAcentral. Lineage: Eukaryota; Fungi; Basidiomycota; Dacrymycetes.
GGAGGAAAAGAAACUAACAAGGAUUCCCCUAGUAACUGCGAGUGAAGCGGGAAGAGCUCAAAUUUAAAAUCUGGCGCCUUCGGCGUCCGAGUUGUAACCUAGAGAAGCGUUUUCCGCGUCGGAUCGUGUACAAGUCCCUUGGAACAGGGCGUCAUAGAGGGUGAGAAUCCCGUUCUUGACACGACUGCCGAGGCUGUGUGAUGCGCUCUCAAAGAGUCGAGUUGUUUGGGAAUGCAGCUCAAAAUGGGUGGUAAAUUCCAUCUAAAGCUAAAUAUUGGCGAGAGACCGAUAGCGAACAAGUACCGUGAGGGAAAGAUGAAAAGCACUUUGGAAAGAGAGUCAAACAGUACGUGAAAUUGCUGAAAGGGAAGCGCUUGAAGUCAGUCGCGUCUGUCGGAUUCAGCCUUAACGGUGUAUUUCUGACUGACGGGCCAACAUCGAUUUUGACCGACGGAAAAGGGUUUGAGGAAGGUGGCCGUUCGCGGUGUUAUAGCCUCUUGCCGUACACGUCGGUUGGGAUCGAGGACCGCGGCUUUGCCUAGGAUGUUGGCGUAAUGGCUUUCAACGACCCGUCUU